This 77-nucleotide transfer RNA is filed under the name SAR324 cluster bacterium. Its description in RNAcentral is "tRNA-Arg". It matches the Rfam family "tRNA". Rfam says of the family: Transfer RNA (tRNA) molecules are approximately 80 nucleotides in length. Lineage: Bacteria; Deltaproteobacteria. The record is from RNAcentral.
GUGCUCGUAGCUCAGCUGGAUAGAGCGUCAGCCUCCGAAGUUGAAGGUCGCAGGUUCGAAUCCCGCCGGGCACGCCA